Molecule: ribosomal RNA, 466 nt
Filed under: uncultured bacterium
Lineage: Bacteria
Description: partial 16S ribosomal RNA
Rfam family: Bacterial small subunit ribosomal RNA
Source: RNAcentral
CCUACGGGAGGCAGCAGUGGGGGAUAUUGCACAAUGGGGGAAACCCUGAUGCAGCGACGCCGCGUGUGGGAAGACGGUCCUCUGGAUUGUAAACCUCUGUCAGCAGGGAAGAACGGUCACUGUGCUAAUCAGCAGUGAAUUGACGGUACCUGCAAAGGAAGCACCGGCGAGCUCCGUGCCAGCAGCCGCGGUAAUACGGAGGGUGCGAGCGUUAAUCGGAAUUACGGGGCGUAAAGCGCUCGUAGGCGGUAUGUGAAGUCAAGGGUGAAAUCCCGGGGCGCAACGGGGGAACUGCCUGUGAGAGUGGCAGACUGGAGUGUGUGAGAGGAUAGUGGAAUGCGAGGUGUAGGAGUGAAAUCCGUAGAUAUCUGGAGGAACAUCAGUGGCGAAGGCGACUAUCUGGCACAUAACUGACGCUGAGGAGCGAAAGCGUGGGUAGCAAACAGGAUUAGAUACCCCAGUAGUC